This is a small nuclear RNA of Psammomys obesus (fat sand rat), 103 nucleotides long. The record is from RefSeq and is a predicted model, not a curated record. NCBI's taxonomy places the organism in Eukaryota, Metazoa, Chordata, Mammalia, Rodentia, Muridae.
GAGCUCGUGUCAGCAGAUCAUUGUUUAAAUCUGAAACUGUACAGAGAGGAUAAACAUGACCCCAGCUCAGGGUUGAAACACUAAUUGGUGGUGCAUCCAUUUU